Molecule: ribosomal RNA, 1155 nt
Filed under: uncultured Bacteroides sp.
Lineage: Bacteria; Pseudomonadati; Bacteroidota; Bacteroidia; Bacteroidales; Bacteroidaceae
Description: bacterial SSU rRNA
Rfam family: Bacterial small subunit ribosomal RNA
Source: RNAcentral
AGUUUGAUCCUGGCUCAGGAUGAACGCUAGCUACAGGCUUAACACAUGCAAGUCGAGGGGCAGCAUGAACUUAGCUUGCUAAGUUUGAUGGCGACCGGCGCACGGGUGAGUAACACGUAUCCAACCUGCCGAUGACUCGGGGAUAGCCUUUCGAAAGAAAGAUUAAUACCCGAUGGCAUAGUUCUUCCGCAUGGUAGAACUAUUAAAGAAUUUCGGUCAUCGAUGGGGAUGCGUUCCAUUAGGUUGUUGGCGGGGUAACGGCCCACCAAGCCUUCGAUGGAUAGGGGUUCUGAGAGGAAGGUCCCCCACAUUGGAACUGAGACACGGUCCAAAUCCUACGGGAGGCAGCAGUGAGGAAUAUUGGUCAAUGGACGAGAGUCUGAACCAGCCAAGUAGCGUGAAGGAUGACUGCCCUAUGGGUUGUAAACUUCUUUUAUACGGGAAUAAAGUGAGGCACGUGUGCCUUUUUGUAUGUACCGUAUGAAUAAGGAUCGGCUAACUCCGUGCCAGCAGCCGCGGUAAUACGGAGGAUCCGAGCGUUAUCCGGAUUUAUUGGGUUUAAAGGGAGCGUAGGCGGACGCUUAAGUCAGUUGUGAAAGUUUGCGGCUCAACCGUAAAAUUGCAGUUGAUACUGGGUGUCUUGAGUACAGUAGAGGCAGGCGGAAUUCGUGGUGUAGCGGUGAAAUGCUUAAAUAUCACGAAGAACUCCGAUUGCGAAGGCAGCUUGCUGGACUGUAACUGACGCUGAUGCUCGAAAGUGUGGGUAUCAAACAGGAUUAGAUACCCUGGUAGUCCACACAGUAAACGAUGAAUACUCGCUGUUUGCGAUAUACAGUAAGCGGCCAAGCGAAAGCGUUAAGUAUUCCACCUGGGGAGUACGCCGGCAACGGUGAAACUCAAAGGAAUUGACGGGGGCCCGCACAAGCGGAGGAACAUGUGGUUUAAUUCGAUGAUACGCGAGGAACCUUACCCGGGCUUGAAUUGCAACUGAAUGAUGUGGAGACAUGUCAGCCGCAAGGCAGUUGUGAAGGUGCUGCAUGGUUGUCGUCAGCUCGUGCCGUGAGGUGUCGGCUUAAGUGCCAUAACGAGCGCAACCCUUAUCGAUAGUUACCAUCANGUUAUGCUGGGGACUCUGUCGAGACUGCCGUCGUAAGA